Molecule: non-coding RNA, 25 nt
Filed under: Mus musculus (house mouse)
Lineage: Eukaryota; Metazoa; Chordata; Mammalia; Rodentia; Muridae
Source: RNAcentral
UAAAUGAGCUGUUCUACCAGAGGUG